CGGAUUGUGAGCACGAGUUCCACACUGAUUGCAUCAAGCAAUGGCUAAUGCAGAAGAACAUAUGUCCGAUAUGCAAAACAACUGCUCUCGCUGCUACCUCAAGGGGUGAAGGGGACGUGCUGCAGCCGGAGAGCGAGGAGGCCUUAGAUGAUGAGUGACCAUAUUCGGACACCUUGGUUUGUUAGAUGGGCAGGCAGGCGAAAACCGUCUCCUUUAUGUAUUUUUCGUUGUGUCGCAAAGUUUUUUUUUCUAUCUAUUUGUAGUGGGUACUUGAUAAUAAACCCUGAAGCUGGAUGAUUUCAUACUUUGAAGCUUGAAUUUG
This 322-nucleotide unclassified non-coding RNA is filed under the name Hevea brasiliensis (rubber tree). Lineage: Eukaryota; Viridiplantae; Streptophyta; Magnoliopsida; Malpighiales; Euphorbiaceae. The record is from RNAcentral.